Molecule: ribosomal RNA, 388 nt
Filed under: Helicobacter pylori
Lineage: Bacteria; Pseudomonadati; Campylobacterota; Epsilonproteobacteria; Campylobacterales; Helicobacteraceae
Description: bacterial SSU rRNA
Rfam family: Bacterial small subunit ribosomal RNA
Source: RNAcentral
UAUGACGGGUAUCCGGCCUGAGAGGGUGAACGGACACUCUGGAACUGAGACACGGUCCAGACUCCUACGGGAGGCAGCAGUAGGGAAUAUUGCUCAAUGGGGGAAACCCUGAAGCAAGCAACGCCGCGUGGAGGAUGAAGGUUUUAGGAUUGUAAACUCCUUUUGUUAGAGAAGAUAAUGACGGUAUCUAACGAAUAAGCACCGGCUAACUCCGUGCCAGCAGCCGCGGUAAUACGGAGGGUGCAAGCGUUACUCGGAAUCACUGGGCGUAAAGAGCGCGUAGGCGGGAUAGUCAGUCAGGUGUGAAAUCCUAUGGCUUAACCAUAGAACUGCAUUUGAAACUACUAUUCUAGAGUGUGGGAGAGGUAGGUGGAAUUCUUGGUGUAGG